This 1840-nucleotide long non-coding RNA is filed under the name Homo sapiens (human). Its description in RNAcentral is "HSALNT0329437". The record is from RNAcentral. Lineage: Eukaryota; Metazoa; Chordata; Mammalia; Primates; Hominidae.
AUCAUCUGCAAACAAGGACAAUCUGACUUCUUCCUUUAUGAACUUUGGAGAAGUUUCCUGUCUGUAAAAAGGAGUCUCCCAUCAGCCUUUGCAGGGAAUUUUUACAGGUCAGCUGCUGCUCCUGGAAGCCAGCAGGUCUUCCUCCAUCAUACAAAAGACAAAUACAUGCAAAGCAGUUUCUAACAGGUCAGCACUGUUUAUAAGUUAACUCUAAAUUGCUUCCCUGGCCCAGUUUUAAGCUCUGCAUUCAUACUUAUCCCUCAUUCUCUAAGUCUCUGACCUGAGAUUAUUUUUUUCUGGUUUGUGGGUCUAGGUGUCAACUCUUGUAAUAUUUACUCUUCCCCAGAUUGAAGCAUUUAUCAUCCUAGACUAUAAUUUCUCUUGCCUACUUUGAUAGCCCCAGGGUUUCCCUAAAUCAGCCUAAUACGUGAAAGAAAGGAGCUAUAAAGAUGCUUUUAUAUAUUACAGCAGAAUAAUUCCUGAAUGAGACUCUACUCAAUUACAGAAAAAUUCAAACCCAACAUCUUUUGCUGUUAUACCAUGUACUGUGAAGCAAUACACGAUAUUUCUCGGUUAGACUGUGCUAAAUGAAAGCUUGUGAAGAAUAUAUGAUUAUGAUCAUUGCUCUAAAACACAAUUUGAGAGACUAAAUUUUGGGGAAAAUUCCAACACCUUGAGCUUUCUACCUAAUAAAUAAGGAACUUAGACAUAAACAGGAAAUAUUUCUUUACUUUUGGUUUCCUGUUUAAAACUUUUUGACUCCUUUUCUGUUGUUGAAUUCACUAUAUCAGAGAAUGAAUGGUCAUUUCUGACACCCCUGAUGAUUUACAGAAAAAUGCUUCCUAACUUCUAGAAUUUCAGUCUCAACCCAGUGCAUUCAUGUGCCUUACUACUUUCUUCGCAUUUUCUGUUAUACGUCUCACAGGCAUUUCAGGUUUGUUUUCCGAAUCUGACCCCUAGACCUUUACCUAUUCCCCAAACCUUUUUUUCUGUCUUUUUUAUCCAGGUAUACCUAUUGUCCCACUCACAGAAUCUGAAAAUUGUGCUGUCUUUACCAUUGCCCUCACAAAAUUCUAUCCCACUUCCAAAAUGUAUUUCAAAAUCAUCUACUUUUCCCAGUCUCCACUCUAAUUCAAAUCACUGUCACUUACAUCCCAGACUGUGCAAUAGCCUCUUUUGCCAUUUUUCCCCUUCUAUGUACUCUUGCCUCCCUCCAAUCCAUUAUCCACAUAGCAAGGGCAAUCUUAAAAUUUAAUGAUCUUCUCUGCUGGAAACUCUUCAGUAACUCCCUGUUGCGUGUUGGAUAUGACCCACAUCUUUAACAUGGUCAGCAAAGCCUCACAUAAUCUGUCCCUUAACAACAUUUCCAUAUUCAUUUUAUAAUAUGCUCCCAGGAGCUUGCCGCAAUCCAGCAUGCUGGUUUUCUUAGUUACUUUAAAGCACUCAAAACUUUCCUCAAUUGUCCUUAGGCCAUGCUGUUCCUCCGGCCUGGCACACACUUCCUUCACUGUCUUUACCAGUCUAAAUUAAAAUACCACUUCCUGACACAUGUACAUUUACAUUUUUUUAAAUUGUUUUGCCUGAUAAUUCUUGCUGGAGGAUUUUCCCUGGCCAACAAAAGCUAGUCGGCCCAUGUAAGAGGCAGGUCACAAGUCCUAAGGAAUUAAUGCUUCCUCUCCUCCCCAUUUCAGGAACAGCCUCCAACCUAUGACUGAUGGGAGUGAGGGGCGACUACCCCAGCUCCCUCAGCUGGAACAAAGAGUAUUGUACUUUAUCUCUAAGUGUUCCUAGAUGGACUGAGCCCCAGUUGCCCAAAUGGUAACCUAUUUAAUAACAUACC